AAAAAAAAAAUACCUUCAUGUAGAAACAGAGAGAUCUAAAUGCAAACCAAAUUUGCUGGCCCAGAGGUGUCAGGGUAGAAUUUGUCACGUUUUUUGGAGAAGUUCAGAAGGAAACUACUACUUCUAAACAGAAGCAAGUACAUCUGGGAUGUAACCAUUUAAUAAAGGGACGUUUCAGAAUUACUCUACUUCCUUGUGGUCUUUUGGGCUGGUGAUUUGCAUUCUGCUAGCCCGUGAGUUGGAUGACAAGUCUAAGAGACUAAACGUAAAGGUCACAAGAUAUGGGAUUAGUCUAAUCCAAACCAGAUGUUUACAUGACACAUGCAUGGUGUUUACCCAUAACCAUCAGCUUCUGAUUCAGCCAGCAAAGAGAAACAAGAAAUUCUAUGGUGAGUCAAGUAGCUCUUUCGUGAGGUCAGAGGAGUCUUAUCUUGGGAGGACUGCCAAGACAGGGCAAACUGGUCGGAGAUGGAUGUCUGUACUGCAGCUUUCUCAGACUCCAAGAGGUGAAUCACAGCUGCAGGGUCUUUGUCUGAACCUUGCUCAGAAGUGGAGACAACAGAACCAGUCUUGAUAUUCCUAUCUGGCAAGCCCUCUAGCAGCAAAAUCCCUUCUCUACUGUUUGACAUUCUCCUUUAUUGAUGUCAAGGACAGAGACAGCCCUUCAUGCUUCUCAGUCUGAUGUACACACCAUCCCUUGAUUCUGCACUCCCAACUUGCAGGUGAGAUCUGCAUCCCACACUUGUCAUAUUUCAAGAUAUUUUUCAAUGCAUUGGUGUCACUUUCUGUGCAAAUGAAAUCUUUUUGUAAAAUCAAACAUAUUCUUCAUUAUUUGCUGUUCCACUGCUCUCUGUAAUCUGCAGACUUUUCUGACAACUACUGUAAAUCUUGGUAGGACAUACAUUCAAAACUUCACCUUAGAAGAUGGGAUAGGGAUCACAAUUAACGUAUGAUAUAUGGUCCCUAUAAUGACAUAUUUUUAAAGAUACCCAUAAAAAUUUAAAAAGCCCUUGUAGCUCUUUUAGAGUUGAUGGCAAUGGUGUAAAUGGCAAACAAUUUUCAUUAUAUUUGCAUCAAUAUGCUUUGAAAUAUUUUAAUCUGCUAUAUUAAAUACUUAUGACUAGGAUCAAAUCAUUAUGAUUUAUUAAGCCAAGAGCCCAGAUAUGCAUGGUAAAGUGUGCUUUCCAGAGCUAGAAAGAGCUCUAAGCAGUGGUAUUGACAGCCACAAGGGAUUAGUAAUGAAAUGCUGAAACAGGGAAAUUUCAGAAUAAGAAAUUUCUCUGUAUGUCCAACUGUCCAUAAAACAUUCCCUAUGAUUACAUUCAUUCUGUUACAGACUUCUUUACUUAGUGUCCAAUUCUCCUUCUGAGGUAGCCUCUCCUGUGAGCAGAUGAGUUCUUUCUCCAUUUUUUUUCAUCACAUUAGCGGUCGUGGGCACAUUAUAAUGUGAUUAAGCAUUUCUUGGAAUGAAGCAGAGUAUUAAGUGUGAAAAGAAAGGUUUUGACAGAUCCAUCUAGUCCAACACCAUGAAACACAGAAAAUGACUGAAUUACUUAAUGAAAAACAAAAUAAGG
Numida meleagris (helmeted guineafowl) is the source of this 1574-nucleotide long non-coding RNA. NCBI's taxonomy places the organism in Eukaryota, Metazoa, Chordata, Aves, Galliformes, Numididae. The record is from Ensembl.